RNAcentral lists this ribosomal RNA (253 nucleotides) under uncultured bacterium. RNAcentral describes it as "partial 16S ribosomal RNA". It matches the Rfam family "Bacterial small subunit ribosomal RNA", at positions 524 to 776 of the family's 1533-position model. The record is from RNAcentral.
UACGGAGGAUCCGAGCGUUAUCCGGAAUUAUUGGGUUUAAAGGGUGCGUAGGCGGCCAGAUAAGUCAGGGGUGAAAGUCGGCAGCUCAACUGUCGCAGUGCCUUUGAUACUGAUGGGCUUGAAUCCAAAUGAAGUGGGCGGAAUAAGACAAGUAGCGGUGAAAUGCAUAGAUAUGUCUUAGAACUCCGAUUGCGAAGGCAGCUCACUAAGCUGGUAUUGACGCUGAUGCACGAAAGCGUGGGGAUCGAACAGG